RNAcentral lists this ribosomal RNA (1579 nucleotides) under Salmonella enterica subsp. enterica serovar Javiana. RNAcentral's name for it is "partial 23S ribosomal RNA". It matches the Rfam family "Bacterial large subunit ribosomal RNA", at positions 139 to 1757 of the family's 2925-position model. Lineage: Bacteria; Pseudomonadati; Pseudomonadota; Gammaproteobacteria; Enterobacterales; Enterobacteriaceae. The record is from RNAcentral.
CUCGUCACACUAUCAUUAACUGAAUCCAUAGGUUAAUGAGGCGAACCGGGGGAACUGAAACAUCUAAGUACCCCGAGGAAAAGAAAUCAACCGAGAUUCCCCCAGUAGCGGCGAGCGAACGGGGAGGAGCCCAGAGCCUGAAUCAGCAUGUGUGUUAGUGGAAGCGUCUGGAAAGGCGCGCGAUACAGGGUGACAGCCCCGUACACAAAAGCGCAUGUGCUGUGAGCUCGAUGAGUAGGGCGGGACACGUGGUAUCCUGUCUGAAUAUGGGGGGACCAUCCUCCAAGGCUAAAUACUCCUGACUGACCGAUAGUGAACCAGUACCGUGAGGGAAAGGCGAAAAGAACCCCGGCGAGGGGAGUGAAAAAGAACCUGAAACCGUGUACGUACAAGCAGUGGGAGCACCCUUUGGGGUGUGACUGCGUACCUUUUGUAUAAUGGGUCAGCGACUUAUAUUCUGUAGCAAGGUUAACCGAAUAGGGGAGCCGGAGGGAAACCGAGUCUUAAUUGGGCGUUAAGUUGCAGGGUAUAGACCCGAAACCCGGUGAUCUAGCCAUGGGCAGGUUGAAGGUUGGGUAACACUAACUGGAGGACCGAACCGACUAAUGUUGAAAAAUUAGCGGAUGACCUGUGGCUGGGGGUGAAAGGCCAAUCAAACCGGGAGAUAGCUGGUUCUCCCCGAAAGCUAUUUAGGUAGCGCCUCGUGAAUUCAUCUCCGGGGGUAGAGCACUGUUUCGGCUAGGGGGCCAUCCCGGCUUACCAACCCGAUGCAAACUGCGAAUACCGGAGAAUGUUAUCACGGGAGACACACGGCGGGUGCUAACGUCCGUCGUGAAGAGGGAAACAACCCAGACCGCCAGCUAAGGUCCCAAAGUCAUGGUUAAGUGGGAAACGAUGUGGGAAGGCCCAGACAGCCAGGAUGUUGGCUUAGAAGCAGCCAUCAUUUAAAGAAAGCGUAAUAGCUCACUGGUCGAGUCGGCCUGCGCGGAAGAUGUAACGGGGCUAAACCAUGCACCGAAGCUGCGGCAGCGACACUCAGGUGUUGUUGGGUAGGGGAGCGUUCUGUAAGCCUGCGAAGGUGGCCUGUGAGGGUUGCUGGAGGUAUCAGAAGUGCGAAUGCUGACAUAAGUAACGAUAAAGCGGGUGAAAAGCCCGCUCGCCGGAAGACCAAGGGUUCCUGUCCAACGUUAAUCGGGGCAGGGUGAGUCGACCCCUAAGGCGAGGCCGAAAGGCGUAGUCGAUGGGAAACGGGUUAAUAUUCCCGUACUUGGUGUUACUGCGAAGGGGGGACGGAGAAGGCUAUGUUGGCCGGGCGACGGUUGUCCCGGUUUAAGCGUGUAGGUGUGUGUUCCAGGUAAAUCCGGUUCACUUUAACACUGAGGCGUGACGACGAGGCACUACGGUGCUGAAGCAACAAAUGCCCUGCUUCCAGGAAAAGCCUCUAAGCAUCAGGUAACAUCAAAUCGUACCCCAAACCGACACAGGUGGUCAGGUAGAGAAUACCAAGGCGCUUGAGAGAACUCGGGUGAAGGAACUAGGCAAAAUGGUGCCGUAACUUCGGGAGAAGGCACGCUGACAC